This 330-nucleotide ribosomal RNA is filed under the name uncultured Pectobacterium sp. RNAcentral describes it as "bacterial SSU rRNA". It matches the Rfam family "Bacterial small subunit ribosomal RNA", at positions 1207 to 1533 of the family's 1533-position model. Lineage: Bacteria; Pseudomonadati; Pseudomonadota; Gammaproteobacteria; Enterobacterales; Pectobacteriaceae. The record is from RNAcentral.
CACGAGUAGGUACACACGGCUACAUGGCGUAUACAAAGAGAGCGACCUCGCGAGAGCAGCGGACCUCAUAAAGUACGUCGUAGUCCGGAUUGGAGUCUGCAACUCGACUCCAUGAAGUCGGAAUCGCUAGUAAUCGUAGAUCAGAAUGCUACGGUGAAUACGUUCCCGGGCCUUGUACACACCGCCCGUCACACCAUGGGAGUGGGUUGCAAAAGAAGUAGGUAGCUUAACCUUCGGGAGGGCGCUUACCACUUUGUGAUUCAUGACUGGGGUGAAGUCGUAACAAGGUAACCGUAGGGGAACCUGCGGUUGGAUCACCUCCUUACCAAG